UCUUCCGUGGCGCAAUUGGCUAGCGCGUCUGACUGUUAAAGGCUAAUGGGACCUCACGGUAUACAAAGUCUGCUGCAAUCAGGAGGUUGACAGUUCAAGCCUGUCCGGGAGAG
Molecule: non-coding RNA, 113 nt
Organism: Diplodia corticola
Lineage: Eukaryota; Fungi; Ascomycota; Dothideomycetes; Botryosphaeriales; Botryosphaeriaceae
Source: Rfam